UGGGGAAUUUUGGACAAUGGGCGCAAGCCUGAUCCAGCCAUGCCGCGUGCGGGAAGAAGGCCUUCGGGUUGUAAACCGCUUUUGUCAGGGAAGAAAUCUUCUGAGUUAAUACCUCGGGAGGAUGACGGUACCUGAAGAAUAAGCACCGGCUAACUACGUGCCAGCAGCCGCGGUAAUACGUAGGGUGCAAGCGUUAAUCGGAAUUACUGGGCGUAAAGCGUGCGCAGGCGGUUUUGUAAGACAGAGGUGAAAUCCCCGGGCUCAACCUGGGAACUGCCUUUGUGACUGCAAGGCUUGAGUGCGGCAGAGGGGGAUGGAAUUCCGCGUGUAGCAGUGAAAUGCGUAGAUAUGCGGAGGAACACCGAUGGCGAAGGCAAUCCCCUGGGCCUGUACUGACGCUCAUGCACGAAAGCGUGGGGAGCAAACAGAUUAGAUCCCUGGUAGUCCACGCCCUAAACGAUGUCAACUGGUUGUUGGGAAGGUUCCUUCUCAGUAACGUAGCUAACGCGUGAAGUUGACCGCCUGGGGAGUACGGCCGCAAGGUUGAAACUCAAAUGAAUUGACGGGGUCAUAGCUGUUU
RNAcentral lists this ribosomal RNA (580 nucleotides) under uncultured bacterium. RNAcentral's name for it is "partial 16S ribosomal RNA". It matches the Rfam family "Bacterial small subunit ribosomal RNA", at positions 355 to 935 of the family's 1533-position model. The record is from RNAcentral.